AAAGCGGUUCAUUGUAAAACAGAAAAUAAAAGUGUUGUACAAAAUUAAGUUGGGGUACAAUGUAUCAUUAACCAUCAUGGUGCUGAUGAAACAUUACUUGAAAAUAGACAUAACGCUCCGUACUGAAUUGUUCGCGUUGUACGUAAUUGAUUGCAUGCGGUAACGUGGGUAUAUUUACGGCACUUCAUUAAUUGCAAACGACUUCGGACGUUCUAGAUUACCGACGAAAAUAACCAACGUCGAGGGUAUUAAUAAAAAACGAACUGAUAUUACGAAAACACAAUUCUGCGACACUACAUUCUAUUGUAAAUAAUUUCCAGCCUGAAGACUUACUGACGAAAAUAAGUCAAAAAAAACGCAAGAAAAACUAUAACGGAGUUAAAAAGGCUCACUAGGAUAACUGCAGCUUUAACGGGACAGGGAAACUCGUUAGGAGCCCUAUAGUGUUUAUAUUGAAUCACACGAGCUAUUUUGAAAAUUUGCAAUUACGUAGCGCAAGAUAGUUAUAAUUACGCCGCACGGACACCGAUGAAAAUGGCCGGGAUUCGGCGAGGGAGCUGCAGCGAUGAAGGGACUCGUUAGGAGUAUCGUGGCCCUACAGUCGAUAAUUCGAGACGAUUAUUGGUCCGCAAAUGCGGCCAUUGCGGCCCGACGAUGGAAGGAUACGUGUAAUUUAAUCGAAGCCCGAUCCUCGCGACCGAUAAGGGAACGCGACUUCCUGCACCCGCGCGAUUACGGUUAUUAGCCGGGAAACAAUUGAAGUAAUGGACUCGAGUUCGAGGUCCGAUGAAUUAUUCCUCCUUGUAGUUUUUUUAAACGAGUUACCGCAUCGAUUAUCCGGAUCGCACGAAGGAGACGCGUUUCGCCUCGUUCGUGCUCGAUCAAUGGGGAAUUUCGACAGCAAUUGCCUCGUAAACCUCUCAGCUAGGAGUUCAUCAUCUACACCGAGAAACGUUAGCUGAAUACAAUAUUGCGGCGCUAGUACAGUUUCGAGCUUCCGAUGCCGCGGGAUCGCGAGGAUCAUCCUUCGAGCUCGUCCUUGCGCGUCGGAAGUGGGCCAGUAUGAAAUCGCGAAGUACACGCACCUAGUCGGAGACUAUGACAAUUGCUCUGAAAAGUAAAUCUCAUUAAUGCACAGUGGCUGAGUUAUCGCGGACCGGCGAUGGAAAACAUAUUGCGAGUCAACGAAACACUCGAUAUUGUCACGCGACGUCAAACAAGAUUUCCGAUCGAUCGGAUCAUUGAUCCAUACUGGAAUCAGACGGGAUUCCCAGUCGAGAUUGGAUUACUACGCCGGAAUCAAACGAGAUUCCCGAUCGGAUCCACUCAGAAACGCGUAUUGCAACAUUUCAUACGAAUUCACGUACUUACGCGCUAGGUUUAUUCAACGUCACCCUUAAUUGUAUCUCUAAUUAUGUUUAGUCGUACACUGUUCUAUGGUCUAUGGCACUUGGUGCGACUAACUCUCACACUUACGAUUCGAUUACGCUUAUGUGAGAUACUUACACAUACGACACGUGAUUAUAACUGAUUCUUUCGUGCGCUUUCGUAUAAUACAGGCAUAUUCACCAAUUAGGUGCUUCUCACAGACUCGACUGAUCGGUUCAAUAUGGCUGACGGUGUUUUUGGCAGAUUUGCUGAAUACAUUAUUCAUUUUACCUUUCUUUUAUCCGAAACGCUCUAGUUGAGUGAUAUCAAUUUCUCGUUUCGUGCAAUGCAGGUGAAUCAAUGGUGCUCACUAUUCAAGUGAGUUCGGAUAUAAAAUGGGAAAAGGUUCACGAAAUUCGUAGAGUGUUCAAACCUACUCUUCAGGGAGCUAAUAAGUGAUUGUUUACCAUGCGAAUGCACCAACGAAAUUAGUUUCUAUUAUUCGAGGAUAGUACAUGAAACCGUUUCAAACUCUCAUACGUGCACAUUUAAAUUACCUUGGACCUUUUAUCCAGUAAGGAAAUAAUCGAUUGCUUGAAAUAUAAAUGUUUAUAACGACUUUAAUAUUUAAUUCGAAUUUCUCGAUCCAAUCUAUCGUUUGGCCAUUUUCUUUUUAAUCGUGGGGCUAAUAUGUUGCUCAACGCCUGCUAGUCACCUGUUAAAAAGAAUGUAUUCUUUAGAUACAUUGUAGACUCUAUGGGUAAAAAAAUUACGUUGCCUGCAUCGCCUUGAAUAAGAUACUCUUUAGUAAUAAAGCAAGUUCUUAUCUACCUUAUCAUUUACGCAUUACAUUAUUUAUACAUACAUCUCUUAAGUACAGCGACUUGAAAAUACGACGUGCGGUAAUGCCAUUACGUCGAUGGAAUUAUUACGCACGUGCAAAAGACGUUUAGCAAUUUCGGUGCAUUUUAUUGUAUUGGCAUUAGCGUUUAUUUUGCUGUGUUCAUUGACGAUUCUUGCCGACAUCCUAUCGCGUUUCAUAUCCCGUCACUUUAAACCAUGCCUCUUGAGGACGAUAUUAAUGUGCAAAAUGUAAACUUUCUAUAUCCGCAAUUUACAUAGCCUUUAAUAACCAACUUAAGAAGAAACAACAUUUCUGGCGUUGGUUCUAUAAGUAUUUCCGGACACAAAAAUAUAGCCCCUCGAUCAUCUAAAUAACAUCAUAAAUAACUGAUUUAAACUCCACAAGUGAAAUAUUUACAAUUGACAAAUAUAAUAUAACACAUAUCAAGUACCUCCUCGUCCAAAAAUCAUUCCGGUAAAUAAAUAAUGGAAUAAUAAUUCCCGGCAUGGAAUAAAUGGAAACCGAUCGAUAUUCGACGUUCCUAGUUAAACACUCAAGUAAAUUGCCUUUGUCCCAUUUUUUUUCGCUAUUUCAAGGUUUUCUUAAAAAACAUUUAAGAGGCAGAUCGGUCUCGAGGAGCCAACACGAGGAAUGCCGUUUCAUCUCGGAUGACUCGCUAGAUACUUAACGUAUUAAUUGAAGCCGCGCUUUAAGAAAGGCCAAAUGAUUAAUGGAACUCUCGUAUCGAAGGCGCAAACAUUUGCUUCCUUUCGGCCCCUUAAAGCGCUUCCCAAAAAUCAUUCUAAAUUAAUGAACGUAAGGCGUUCUAUACGAGCCGCUCCACGCGUCCUUUUUCACGCUCAGGAGAUAAAAGGUCGCUAUCUAUAGGCCACUCCUCGAGGAGUCCUACGUUAGUUUGUGCACUGUAAAUUUCCCCACCUAUGAAUACAUAACAGUCAAUUCCUACGCCGACCACGCGGGGCUACCAUUAUUUCUAUGGUAACGCGACAGGAAGGCGCGCCACCAUUUUCAUCCCUCCAGAAAGCUCCGAAGCUUUCGCCAACUCGCUCCAACUUUAAGUUCUCCAGUAUCGCGAUGAAAAGCACACACAACGCUUAUCGUGGAAACAUAAGCUGUACAUACAAGUAUAUUCAGGCUGGGCCACCAAACUUGCUCACCUCGGUUAAAACUGCAUUCCAAGGAAAAGUUGCUUCCUUCGAAGACAGUCGCACCUUGAGCGACAUCGUUAUCAUACAAUUGCCAGAUUACUCUUUUUCUCUUUCCCCGAAAAUUUUUUCUCCCACUUCUCUUUCUUUCCGUCUCUCGACAUUUGACAGUUUGCAAAACUGUUUUCGAUAAGCUAGUGGAAUAACUAAACGGAGCACCUUGCGUUUUGUGCAGAUAGGCUUCAUUUUCGCAACGGGGUUCAGGGUUUCCGAUAGGGACAUGCCAUGUUACAUACAUUGCUGUUAAAGAACGCAUAUCUAAUGGGAUAACCACUUCAGAGAUCACGCAAUAAUAUUUAACGUGCAUGUCGACGUUGCAAUAAUUGCGUUCGCCAUGGAAAGUGCUUCUUUCUCCCUUGGGAUGCAUUUUAAUGUUUGACGAUUCCUCCGUUUGACAGUCAUUACCAAUUUAGUAUCGCAGAAGACAUGAGUAUGGGAACGUUAUAAAUAAAAAGAAAGAAUAUCAAUUUCGAAAAAGGGUGUGUUGAAGCAAUUGAACUGACGAAUUUCAAACUCACUACGCUAUUUUACUGUAUAUGUCUAGAUAUUUUUUAAAGUAUGCUCCUUUUCUAUGGGAUUACGGCACAAAUAAUGAGAAUUGCCGACGCAGGGAGUACAAUUCUAAAUUUGGAAUUUCCGGCGAUUUUUCUAAUCGAAAGACUUUUAAUUCGCCGAGUUCCUACGCAGACCUUUUAUUUAAUUAACAUAUGGACGGAGGAAAGUUCUUUUCUCAUCGAAGUAUAACAAUUACGGAAUGAAACAGUUUCUGGCGAAACAAUUUGUUCCUAAAUGGAAAAGUUUUAACGGAGGUGCCCAACCUUAUAAUAAUUUACGUAUAUUUACAAUCAUACUCGAAACUUCCCACUUUCGUUUCACGUAUACCUUAAUUUGGGUAAAAUGCUUGGCGGUAGAAUACGCUUGGGAAUCAUACAAAUUGAGUGUAUUGGCACCCUUCAAUGAUAAUAAUCUACAAGUAUCUACGAUUAAUCAUCAUUUAUACAAACACAGUCCCGUUCAAUGCGAUUUAAAAGCUAUAACAGCUCGAUUUCCGAAAUCGCACUGAAGCUUCAUGAAUCUUCCCAUUCACAGUUACAUCACUUAUUUUACACGAAAUUCAUUAUUUCUAUACAGUAGCAGUAUUGUCGGCAGUCAUACAAAAAUCAACCGGAUUAAAUAUUUGAUCUUUACUUCGCUACGAUACAGGAUAUUUUUCUGCAGAGUGAUAAAAUCGAAAUUAAUUGCACACAAUUUCGAGUAUCUAGCCUUUAAUACAACGUAAACAUUUAAUGGUAAUGUCGGAAAUUCCAUUUUAAGGGCAGGAGGUGAAUUUAAACUUACGUGAUAUUUUCAUUUAACUUUCAUUCAUUUAUGUUAAAUGAACGAUUAACACAUAUUUGGAGAAUACCACGCAGGUAUAAGAAGCCACUACAAAGCACAAAGUAGAUAUUGAUUACGUACUGAACUCUAUGUCAAAAAUAUAUCUCCAUUGAAACAUUCUAUAUAUUUAUAUACAAUGUUGUGUUUACCUUGCUUUUACCUUAGUUUAAAGAAAAUUCUGCCGACGUAUCUAAGUGCAGCGAUAAUGAUCAAUCACCUGCUGUAUACUUUUUCCCUUCAAACCAUUUUCCUACCUAAAGAAUGGCAUGACAGAGAGAAUUUAAAAAUAACAGCUUCCUCUCUUUGUACACGUAAUUCAGUUUCUGUGCGAUUACAAGAAUUCCGUGACAUUGAUGAAUCAAAAAUGAUAAACAUUCUCUUGUAUGUCGAAGGCCACGGGAAGUUUUGUUAGAUACAUGUACAGAAAAAAAUCGAACGUAUAAAUCUGUUUUGCAGUAAAGUACAUGGUGCAAUAAUUCCACGCGUCGCUUUACAUUGUAGGAUAUUGUAUCGCAAUUCGGUAAGGAAAUGAGAGUGAGGAGACAAGUUGAUUUUCUAAAUUUGCUUUAGCGAACGGGCAAUUUUUCAUGACGAUUCCCUGUUAACGUCAAUUUGUUAUUUACUUUGAAAUUGGUUGGAAUGAGUUGUUUUUCCUGUUUCGGAGUCCUUUAUGAGUCCAAACUUGCAAAGACUUGCGACAACCUACAUUAGACAUUAUUAUAUUAAUUACACCGUCUAAUGUAUGGGAUAGAUCCUGAAUCUCUCCAAAUUGAGCAUUUCUCUCAUUUUUCGGCCUUUGGAUAAUAUUUCGGAUCAAUAAUACGAAUGCAGUUAUCGCAAAAGAAUUUAAACUUAGAAGUGAAACGAAACCACUCGAGAGACGAAAAAUUUUCGGAAGUUCGAACUCGAGCCGAAUCGUCCGACUUGUUCGAUAUCUGAAUGUGUCCAUGCGCGAAUGCACUUAGACACGAUUUCGCUUCAAUGCAUCCGAUUAUACACGAAUGACUAAGUUCUCAGCAAAGUUAAGGAAAUUUCCGUACAGUCGGUGCAUUAUGCUUCCCUGCCCGAUUCUGGAAUUAGUGCAAGGGGUUGCAUUUCCCCCUAAGCUACUAUUCCUAAGUACAAGUUGCCGAAGAUGGAACGAUGCCUAGCAACAAUUAUAACACCAGUAAUAACGAUCGUACCAUCAACUGAACGAUUAAUUUUAUUUACACCGAUAAUCUUCCAAUAAUGUUCUGUAGACGACCGCGGAAUAUUAAAAUCGAUUGUACAUUGUUAUGAGUAAUUAUCACGACGGUAUAAUUCUGGAUGACCCGUAUUCAUAAAAUGUAUUGAAAGUAACAUUGAAAAGAGUACACGCAUGUCAAACUACGAUAAACCAAGAGACAUGGUUAUAGCAUUUUAACUUCGCAUUGUGCGUGAUUUUUUAUUACACGUUUUUAGGCGAAUUGAAAUAAAUGUUCCUAGACAGAGUAAAACAUUACCUGGGAAGGUAAUAUAGUCUCGUAGUUCAGGUUAUCGAUAUAGCGCGAAACGAAUUUCUUCAUUACAGAGGAAUGAUAAUAAUCAUUUGUUAUCUUAAUAAUUUGAGUAUGAAAUGGAUUCAGAUGCAAGUAUAUGCAAGAGGAAGUGGUAAAAAUGAAAUUAUUCAUACUUAAUAGUUUUUAGUUCUUUUAUUGUGCACAUUAGCUAUUUUACCUACACGUUUUACUACUGCCCGCAAUUUCAGGUCAUCUAAAAGACAAUGAAAAAGGGUAAUAUAUACAAAUUAGCAUUGAUUAAGAAUACAAGUUAAGUAUUGUGUCGUUUAGCUUGCAUGUACUCUUUGAAUGUCGCAUUUAACCAAUGGCUUAUGAUUGUGCUACUCGUUUUCCUAGGUUAUUCUUUCCCGUUUAAUAAAAUUUAACGUUCUUAAAAUCAUUGAAUGAAGGAUCAAACAACCAAUAUUUCUGUUUAAAUGCCGUAAUAUCAACGACACAUCGUAAAAAUUUGAGCAUAUAUUCACUGAGUAUUUGUUUGAUUAUUGUUUCAAUGUUGCAGCUAGUAAAGGUCACAACUAUCUUCAAAGAAACAAAUAUCAAAAUCAAAAGGUCCGUUGCCAAGUCAGAAUAUGUCGACAAAAUAAUUUAAUUCGCGUUAAUUAACGCAUAAGUUCAGUUUGGCCAAAAUUCAUUGUAGGGCAAACCCUCAAAGUUUAAACAUUUCUCACCGUUUCCUGUAUUUAGAGGAAAUCAGACGUAAUAACGGUGGUUACACAUUUAUACUUCGCAAUACUCAGCUAUACAUUUAAUAACACAAAUCCCGUUUCUCAAUUAACGUGUCUCUGUGUGAAUACUCUAAAUAGCACAUUCAUACAAUUUCGUAAUAAGAACACAAUCAAACGGAUCAUAUCUUUCUUUUUCCACUUGCAAGAAACACGUAAUUUGCUAUUUCCUCACACCGAACAAAAGAUUCAUUGCAGUCUUAUACGGAAUAAUGUUGCAAUUUAUAGCAACCAAAAAGAUUUAUAUGUACUACUGUUGAAGACGCUGAAAAAAAAAACCCCUCUUUAGUCAAAAUAAAUUUAACCUGGCUCCGUUAAUAAGAAAACGCUCCUAGUAAAAGGAACCCCAUUUGGAGAGGAUUUUCUUUCCAGAUAGUUUUUGUUUCCAGUUUGAAAUUUCCAUUAAAACAAAAUUAAGCACAACUUUCCCGUCUAAAAAUGCAAUAUCCGUUAAUAAGGACUAGACACUUUAAAACGAUCAGCUGCCUUGCGCGUUAUAUUCCUUCGCGAAACAUAUUACUGUCGCGUGAAACCCAUAACUCCUCUUCCUUUGACAUUAUUUGCACAUGGCCCUCGGCGUAAUCAGCAUUUUGAUUUGCGCGUUGGCGAAAUCCAUGCAAAUCUCCGAAGCCAACUCGUCUGGGCAAAAUACUACGCGACGCGAACGCAAACGAACGAGCGAAAACUUAAAGGUGCGUGAAAAGAUCACGGAAAAAAAAAAGAAAAGAAAAAAAAACAGGAUAAAAAAUAAAA
Molecule: long non-coding RNA, 7831 nt
Organism: Orussus abietinus
Lineage: Eukaryota; Metazoa; Arthropoda; Insecta; Hymenoptera; Orussidae
Exons: 4
Source: RefSeq, a predicted model, not a curated record